Molecule: ribosomal RNA, 550 nt
Filed under: uncultured bacterium
Lineage: Bacteria
Description: bacterial SSU rRNA
Rfam family: Bacterial small subunit ribosomal RNA
Source: RNAcentral
GGGGAAUCUUCCGCAAUGGGCGAAAGCCUGACGGAGCAACGCCGCGUGAGUGAAGACGGCCUUCGGGUUGUAAAGCUCUGUUAUACGGGACGAAUAGUCUUGUGGUUAAUACCCAUAAGAAGUGACGGUACCGUAAGAGAAAGCCACGGCUAACUACGUGCCAGCAGCCGCGGUAAUACGUAGGUGGCAAGCGUUGUCCGGAAUUAUUGGGCGUAAAGGGCGCGCAGGCGGCUUCUUAAGUCUGUCUUAAAAGUGCGGGGCUUAACCCCGUGAUGGGAUGGAAACUGGGAAGCUCAGAGUAUCGGAGAGGAAAGCGGAAUUCCUAGUGUAGCGGUGAGAUGCGUAGAUAUUAGGAGGAACACCAGUGGCGAAAGCGGCUUUCUGGACGAAAACUGACGCUGAGGCGCGAAAGCCAGGGGAGCGAACGGGAUUAGAUACCCCGGUAGUCCUGGCCGUAAACGAUGGGUACUAGGUGUAGGAGGUAUCGACCCCUUCUGUGCCGGAGUUAACGCAAUAAGUACCCCGCCUGGGGAGUACGGCCGCAAGGUUG